UGGGGAAUAUUGGACAAUGGGGGCAACCCUGAUCCAGCGACGCCGCGUGUGUGAAGAAGGCCUGCGGGUUGUAAAGCACUUUUAGUGGGGAUGAAAUGUGCAGGGUUAAUACCUCUGCAUUUUGACCUAACCCACAGAAAAAGCACCGGCUAACUCUGUGCCAGCAGCCGCGGUAAUACAGAGGGUGCAAGCGUUAAUCGGAAUUACUGGGCGUAAAGCGUGCGCAGACGGUUGCGUAAGUCAGAUGUGAAAGCCCCGGGCUCAACCUGGGAAUUGCAUUUGAGACUGCGUAGCUAGGGUGCGGAAGAGGGAAGCGGAAUUUCCGGUGUAGCGGUGAAAUGCGUAGAUAUCGGAAGGAACACCAGUGGCGAAAGCGGCUUCCUGGUCCAGCACCGACGUUCAGGCACGAAAGCGUGGGGAGCAAACA
RNAcentral lists this ribosomal RNA (427 nucleotides) under uncultured Sinobacteraceae bacterium. RNAcentral describes it as "partial 16S ribosomal RNA". It matches the Rfam family "Bacterial small subunit ribosomal RNA", at positions 355 to 774 of the family's 1533-position model. RNAcentral also lists the same sequence under 1 other name. The record is from RNAcentral. Lineage: Bacteria; Pseudomonadati; Pseudomonadota; Gammaproteobacteria; Nevskiales; Nevskiaceae.